Long non-coding RNA from Oncorhynchus mykiss (rainbow trout), 2305 nucleotides. The record is from Ensembl. Lineage: Eukaryota; Metazoa; Chordata; Actinopteri; Salmoniformes; Salmonidae.
AUGUUGUACAGACCUACAGCCAGACAGGAUGAUCACAGCCAAUGUGAUUUGGUGAUGGGAGCUGUGAGCUGUGCAGGCAUGUUGGCCUUAAAGGAUUCUGGGAUCUAUUCUCUCAUCACCACUGUACCGUCCAAGUUACUGCCCUCAGGUGAGUUUGUAUCAGGUUGUCUUCUGUCCCUGUUUUCCAGACCUGGGACAGGAAUUUGGGACCAUCAGCACAAUAAAUCUUUGUCACUCAAUGUCAACCGUACUAACUUAAAACAUCAAAUAAGGUGUUAGUCAGAGCAUCUUGAAAGCAUGAGAUCAGAGCUGUAUGUCUACAAGGUGGUUUAAGACAGGAAGAGAAGUGUGAAGUGACAUUAAGCACAGCAACAUAACACACACAACCACACACACACUUACGCAUGAGCGCAUAUUCACACGCACACACACGCCCACACACAAAUAUACAGAAACUCUAACUCAGGCUCCCUCUGUGUUGUACAGGCCCUGUUGAAGAAAAUGGAAAGUCAUCUGAAAAAGACAAUGUAGGUUCAGAAUCACCCACUGUGUUUGGUAAUUUUGAUCGACUCUCAGUUUCAGAUUGAUGUUACAUCCUUUUAGAAUACAUUACAUUUACAGUACUGUAGAUUCAAAGGGCUGAAGUUAAACUGUCUGUUUAUUUUCUCUAGUCUGAUACGUACCACAUAUACAGCUCAAUCCCCGACAGACCAGCAACCUCAGCCCAGCCGGAUGGGUUUUACAGUCUUCUGCAGACACACUGAAACUACACCACUGGCUCUCUGUAUGUCUCACAGAAAUAUUGUUUCUUUCAGGAUGUCCUUUAUUUAUCACACAUCAUGUUACUGUAAAUAAGUAUCUAAUACAUCUACUGCAGUACAGUUUCUAGGCAUAACCAUCAUAAAGGGCUGCCAUCCCAUGGAAGAAUUUGUAGAACUGGAGGUAAUUAGCUUUAAAACGGAAUUUCUUUCUUUCAGUCUCAUGUCACAAUGUGUAGAAUUGUAGGAAAUUAGCUUUAUAACUGCAAAGGUUUCUCCGCCCCAUGGCAAAAUUUGUAGAAUUGCAUGAUAAAUGCAAUAAAUGCUAAAUAUAUACUGUUACAUUGUUGUCAACAUCAGAUCAUCAAAACUGAAAAAUAUAGAUAUCCUAAAUGCUUUUAAAAUCUCCCCAUUUCCCAAUGUUUACCUGUUAUUUUUCCAAGUUACCAGUUUAACUUCAAUUUACUCACGCACUUCAGAUUAUCCCCUUCAAUGUGCAGUGUUGUAGACACAUUCUAGCUUUAUAGUCCAGUGACUGCGUAGCAGUUAAGUUGUAAAUGGUGUGUGACCAUAACCUUCAUGAAACAAAAUUACCCAGUUAAUUAACAUUGGAGAAUCGCUUCGUUUGACCAUCCUUAUCUGGUGAGUUUACAGAUGUAGGAUCUUAAUUUGAGCCAGAUUGCUACAGCAUAAAAAUUAUCCUGCAGCAUCUGGAAAUGUGAAUUAUUAUGUGUAUUAUAAUGUAUGGAAUUUUUUUUAGGGGUUUAUACAUUUUUCUUUAGGGCUAGUUUAGUCUUACAUUUCAAAGUGGAAAUUACAAACUUUAGAAGUCUACAUACACUAUACAUUUGCAUUUCCUGCUCUGCCAAAUUAUGGCAGUUUAUACAAUUUUAAAAACAUUACAAUACAUUCAGACUGUGUGCCCUCAAGCCCCUACUCCACCACUACCGCAAAUACAGUGCCUUGCGAAAGUAUUCGGCCCUCUUGAACUUUGCGACCUUUUGCCACAUUUCAGGCUUCAAACAUAAAGAUAUAAAAAUGUAUUUUUUUGUGAAGAAUCAACAACAAGUGGGACACAAUGAUGAAGUGGAACGACAUUUAUUGGAUAUUUCAAACUUUUUUAACAAAUCAAAAACUGAAAAAUUGGGCGUGCAAAAUUAUUCAGCCCCUUUACUUUCAGUGCAGCCUCCAGAAGUUCAGUGAGGAUCUCUGAAUGAUCCAAUGUUGACCUAAAUGACUAAUGAUGAUAAAUACAAGCCACCUGUGUGUAAUCAAGUCUCCGUAUAAAUGCACCUGCACUGUGUUAGUCUCAGAGGUCCGUUAAAAGCGCAGAGAGCAUCAUGAAGAACAAGGAACACACCAGGCAGUUCCGAGAUACUGUUGUGAAGCCGGAUUUGGAUACAAAAAGAUUUCCCAAGCUUUAAACAUCCCAAGGAGCACUGUGCAAGCGAUAAUAGUGAAAUGGAAGGAGUAUCAGACCACUGCAAAUCUACCAAGACCUGGCCGUCCCUCUAAACUUUCAGCUCAUACAAGGAGAAGACUGAUCA